CUCUCAAUUUCUCGUAAUUUUUCAUAGACUCAUUUUUUGUUCCAAAUUAAAUUCUCUUUCCAUAGAGACAAUUUCCCCGAGGAUCGGUGGAAAAGUAGGGAAGUUAUGCCAAAUCUUCCACUUGGCAUCUUCACUGGAAGUGGGGACUAUCGAGAACUGAAGACGUCGGUACUCAAGGAAGAUGCGAGCAGUCGUAAUCGCUCCCUAACCCGGGGCUUGCUGUUUCAUGAUCUUCUUGAUACAAGGACGACUUCUGUUCCUUUAUAUCCAUUUCCAUGGAUGUCGAUGGGGGAAAUGGGGAAACAUCCCAGAUUUUCCACUUGGAUUCUCUCUCUCUCACAUUUUUCAAUAUUUCUCUUUUCCUCUCAAUUUCUCGUAAUUUUUCAUAGACACGUUAUUUGUUCCAAAUUAAAUUCUCUUUCCAUAGAGACAAUUUCCCCGAGGAUCGGUGGGAAAGUAGGGAAGUUAUGCCAAAUCUUCCACUUGGCAUCUUCACUGGAAGUGGAGACUAUCGAGAACUGAAGACGUCGGUACUCAAGGAAGAUGCGAGCAGUCGUAAUCGCUCCCUAACCCGGGGCUUGCUGUCUCAAGAUCUUCUUGAUACAAGGACGACUUUUGUUCCUUUAUAUCCAUUUCCAUGGAUGUCGAUGGGGGAAAUGGGGAAACAUCCCAGAUUUUCCACUUGGAUUCUCUCUCUCUCACAUUUUUCAAUAUUUCUCUUUUCCUCUCAAUUUCUCGUAAUUUUUCAUAGACACGUUAUUUGUUCCAAAUUAAAUUCUCUUUCCAUAGAGACAAUUUCCCCGAGGAUCGGUGGAAAAGUAGGGAAGUUAUGCCAAAUCUUCUACUUGGCAUCUUCACUGGAAGUGGGGACUAUCGAGAACUGAAGACGUCGGUACUCAAGGAAGAUGCGAGCAGUCGUAAUCGCUCCCUAACCCGGGGCUUGCUGUCUCAUGAUCUUCUUGAUACAAGGACGACUUCUGUUCCUUUAUAUCCAUUUCCAUGGAUGUCAAUGGGGGAAAUGGGGAAACAUCCCAGAUUUUCCACUUGGAUUCUCUCCAACUUUCAUCAAUAUUUCUUCUACUCUCAGUUUUUUCCACUUUCUCAUCAUUUUCAUCGAUACACUCUUUGUUAGGUGUUAAAUACGCUUCCUUAUGACCCAAUUUCCAUGGAAAUCGAUAGGAAAUUUAAAAAAUUAUGGUAGACUUACACUUUGAGAUCAUUUCCUUCAUUUUUUCUUAACUUGGAAACUAUCGGAUCAACUUGGAACAAUGAGAGAGAAAAAGAUCAUGGUUACUUGGCAGUAUACUCCCUUACCCCCCUUCCCCCCGCAGUUCAAGGAGUAAUCCAGAGAUGACCUUAAGGACUAGAAAAAGGGACGUGAUCCGACUUGUUUUUGGAACUUAAUACUGAAGUAGUUCUCUUUUCAGAUAGACCUGUAUUACCCUAAAAUGGACGUGACUUACCUUGAGAUAGACGUGGAUUCUCCCCAGAUGGACUGGCUUACCUUACUAGAAGAACUCACCUUAAUUUGAUAAGGCAUAAGUCAUCCAAAACUCGUCAAUUUUGAUAGAUAGCUUUGUACCCAAGACCGAAAAAGAACAUGUCAAUGAAAGAUAAAGAAGGCAAAAGCAAGAGUGAAGAAUGCAAUAUAUAAAAUUAUGAAUAAUGACAAAAAUUAAAAACAAAAAACCCCCCCGAUUCCAAAAGAAAUAAUUGACGUCAGAAUCCUAUGGUGGUAGAACCAAAGAACCUUAUCUGUUAUGGAAUUACUUACUGAGAGGAAGGAAUACCAUUCAAGCAAACAACUGAAGGAAGGCUCAAUCAAAGAACCAUCUGCAGUAGCAGCUUUGUACCAAUCGGACUCAAUUUGUUGCUAAGGUAACUUUUCUUUGUGACUUUUUUUUACGAAUGAAUCACUCCCCAUCUCUCUUUCCUUUUCUAUAUAUAAUUGAGGCGUGUUUUACGAAAACCGCACAUGUCCAAAAUCAACGAAAUUGAGCUAGUGGUGGCACCAUCUAGUUUAAAA
Molecule: long non-coding RNA, 2026 nt
Filed under: Anthonomus grandis grandis
Lineage: Eukaryota; Metazoa; Arthropoda; Insecta; Coleoptera; Curculionidae
Description: uncharacterized LOC126749378
Source: RNAcentral